Molecule: long non-coding RNA, 1701 nt
Filed under: Apteryx rowi (Okarito brown kiwi)
Lineage: Eukaryota; Metazoa; Chordata; Aves; Apterygiformes; Apterygidae
Description: lncRNA (ENSARWG00000014058.1)
Source: RNAcentral
GUGUAGAAUUUAUGACACAGCUGUUUGCUUCCUGCUAAGCCAAAAGUGUGGUUGAGAACGUGGCUGUUUUCUUGUCUGGCAAUGUUUUGGCCUCUUCAGAAGUUUUGUUCCGUGUUGGCUUUUGCAGUUUUAGGAGGUGGCCAGGGGAGAAAUUUGGGAGCUUUCCAAAGGGAUAACAGUGAGAUCUCUCUCCUUAAAGGAACUGGGCAUUAAACUGAAUUUCUUGUGUUCUGUUUGAGAAGCUGAAUCAUUUUGAGUGUUUGGACCAAGUCCCUCUCCUGAUCUUGCUUUGCAAUUUUCAGAUACAAAGAAUCUUUCUUGGUGACUUUAGUCAAGAGCAGGUACUGCAAAAAAAUGUGGUUCUGAGGAAAAAUUUUUUGUCAAUACUGAUCAUCUUUAAUUGUGUUCUAAUAGAUGCUGGCAGCUUUCUUUGGAACAGACAGCAGGUGGUGCAACUACCCCACUUAAAGCUACUGAACCAGCAGUUCCUGGCUAGGCUGGCACAGCGAGGGAUUCUGUGCAUCGAGUGGGAUGUUGCCUGGAGCUGAGAAUGGCUUGUUCUGUGACCUGCUUUCAUGCCAGUUUGCAGAGCUGCCAGCAGAGUCUACCUAGCUAGAUUUUCUAAUAGCUAGGACUCAUGAUGCUUCCAGCAGGAUUCAUCCUCUUUGCCCUACUGAUAGGUGUGCUCCUCUUCCCCCAGGGCUGAAGCACUGUGGGCAACUCUUGCUUGUGCCUUGAAUCUGCAACUGCACCAGCAAGGGCUGCUUGGGAAGCAAAACAGUGCAUCCCAGGAGCACAUAGAACAGGCAUAGCUGGCACAGUGCUGCAGCUCUGUUGUUCUUCACCUGGAUGUUUCUUGCAGGAGCCUCUACUUCAAAUCCUACACUGCAGGGUGGGACUGCAAGGUCAUGGAGGACAGGAGAGGUGCCUGAAGACUGGAAGAAAGCCAAUGUCACCCCAGUCUUCAAAAAGGGCCAGAAGGAGGACCCAGGGAACUACAGGCCAGUCAGCCUCACCUGCAUCCCUGGAAAGGUGAUGGAGCAGCUCAUCCUGGAGGCCAUCUCCAAGCAUGUGGAGGAAAAGAAACCACCUAGGCUGUACCUGACACCACACUGGAGUCCUGCAGACCCCCUCCUGGGAGUGCUCCCCUCUGGGCAGGUGGGUGCCACCAGGAGCUGUGAUUCUGACCAGCUCUGCUCACUGUGAGGGGCAGGACAGUUGGGAUUUUGGCAGUUGUGAUGUGUGCUUGCCAGACCUGAACUGCAUCUUCAGGAAUAGCUCCUCAUCUUCAGGCACUGCCCAGCCCUUUCCCCUGGCUCUUCUCCUGCUCCUUCCAGCCAGGCAGCAGGUGACCUUUUGGAGAGAAAUGAUCCCAGCAUCAAUGUGGUAUUUUGCAUGCUGUCCCCUUGGGAUCCAUAAGUAUUUAUAGGCCAAGACUGGGUUAUUCUAAUCCUCUGCUUUGAGAUGUGCUGGCAAGGUUUGGCCACCUGGGGGUGGGGGUGGCUCCUCCGGGCAUUUUGCUUCCGGAUGAGAAUCUUGGAAAUGCUCCUGUGAUACUCACUGGGCUCUGGGCUGCCGAAGACUAGAGUGUCUCUGACAAGCUGCUUUGACAGUCUCUGACUACUCUUGCUCCCUGCACAGAAACCUGUCUGCAAAUGGGUUGCCUCUCCAUGAGCUGGUGCUGCACGUUCAGGCCCCCUG